This 474-nucleotide ribosomal RNA is filed under the name Triticum aestivum (bread wheat). RNAcentral's name for it is "partial small subunit ribosomal RNA". Lineage: Eukaryota; Viridiplantae; Streptophyta; Magnoliopsida; Poales; Poaceae. The record is from RNAcentral.
AUGGAAAGCGUUUUGGUUAGCGCGACGACCGGAGCGAUGACAUCCCUCUUGGGGAAGUUGGGAACCAUGCUGCCAAUGAGCACAAGCUUCUCAAGGAUGUCCAUCAUGAGUCAUGCAAUCAAGCUCCUCAAGGAUGAGCUCAAGGCCAUGCAAGCAUUCCUGAUGAUGGCAGAUGUGGAGGAGCCUGACCACCAAGACAAGCUUCAUGCAGAUGUUGUGUGAGAGCUGUCAUAUGAUAUUGAGGACAGCAUCAACAAGUUCAUGUUACUUGUGAACCAUGACUCCGCUUCCAAGUCGAAAAGCUUCAAGGAGAUUCGUGGCAAAAUAAAAAAAAUAUUGGACAUCAACACUCGCCAUAGGAUCACCAAUGAUGUAAGGUGGGGGGGGGCUUUGCCCCCCCACACCCCCACCCCGAACAGUAAGCUCCACCAUAGCACAUAUGGUUACCCCUUAAACUUUGUUACUUAUAUCUAA